AUGGCAUCACUUGGGCACCAACACCUCCAGAGGGAGUGGCACCACCGGGAUGGCCAUGGCCCCCCGUAUCCAGCUGGAAUCACCGUCUCACCGACAGGAGGGGCUGCAGGAACCGGUGCAAAUCCCUGGGGUGGCCUCGGCUCUCACUAUGGCACCUUUAGAGCUGAAAAAGAAUGUUUUCAGUCACAACAGGGCUUUACACAGCCCCAGAGCCACCCCCAAGCCCCUACUGCUGCCAGCUCCAUCUCCCAGGCAUCCGCCUGCGAGGAUGAGCCCGGGCAGGAGCAAAGGGCUGAACCUCAGUGCAAACCAGUUUGCCCAGCAGCUGCUCCCACACUCACCAGAGCGCAUCCCGUCCGUGGCAAAGCCGGUGCCAGGCUGGAAGGGCCUGUCCUGCUCGGGAAGAGGAACCCAGGCGGUGCCCGUGCUGGGAGAACCGAGCCCGGGGCCAGGAGGGUCACCGGCUCUCCCGGAGACUCCAGCCCACCCGCUCCCGGUCUCGGGGGGACGCGGCAAUGCAGAGCCCCCGGGGCCGGUCACCGGGCCGGGAAUCGGGAGCUGCCGGGGCCCCGCGGCUCCACCUCCCGCGUGGGAGACACCAGGGACGCUCGGCCCCAUCCCGGGAAGCUGAUGCUGUGCCCCCGCAGAGGGUCAGUGCCUAAACCCACUGUCAGAGCCACGAGACCCCCGGCGGGUCCUGCACCGAGGGGAGGGAAACAAACCAUCCCCUGCGCCUGCCCGGGCAGGGUCCGCGCCGCAACUCCAGGCACCAGAGCCCGCAGCGCAGGGGCGAAGGGAGCCAAUGGCCCCGGUUCACCCAGUUCUGCCCCGGUUCUCACCUGUUUCCCACCACUUUUGCCCGCUUUCCCUUACCCGGUCCCUCCCCUCUCCCGCCGGCUGUCAGGAACCGGGAGGGCGCCCGGGGACGCUGAGCCCGGCUCGGUCCCUACGGAGAGGCGCGGCUGCAAUGGGAGCAGCUCUAGCACGGCCCCCAGGCCUCCCGGAACGGGACCCGAGCCCCGCAGAGCCCCUUGGACCGGGACCGGGACCAGGACCGGGACCGGGACCACGACCGGGACCGGGACCGCGACCGGGACCAGGACGGAGAUGCCGCGGUUGUGGCGCCCUCGCGUGGCCAACGCGGGUAUGGCAGGCGGGUCGCCCCGCACCAGC
This 1173-nucleotide long non-coding RNA is filed under the name Chloebia gouldiae (Gouldian finch). RNAcentral's name for it is "Erythrura gouldiae (Gouldian finch) lncRNA (ENSEGOG00005011963.1)". Lineage: Eukaryota; Metazoa; Chordata; Aves; Passeriformes; Passeridae. The record is from RNAcentral.